AUCCUUCAUCAGACUCCAAGGAGAGGCCAACAGAUGAGGGAGCCAUUUUUCUGCAAUGGAAUUAAAUGGCCAAGUGGGUUUUUCCUUUGUUGCAAAUGGGGAAUGCUUUUCCUUUGACUCCACCAUCCAGUUCAGGACGCCUGAAUGUGUUUAACAUUUGCCAAAGGACUCACACUUGGAAGAAUGAAGACCUUUUAAAAAGAUCUGGAUUUUUCCUUAUGACUUGGAAUCCAUCUUUGUCUUGUAUAACUAGGUCAUAGCACACUAUUAAUGUCAGCAGUUAACAGUUUUGAAUUCAAAAAAACCUAAAGCACUAAACAGCCCUCAGCGAAGCCGCCUUUUUGCCAGCCCAACCCUGGAAAGUUUGCAGUCGUGGAAGGAGCAGAAAUACCACGAGUGUAACUUACAAAGAAGGUCUUGGCCGGAGACCGGAGCCAUGUCUGUGUUAUCCCCACUGUAGACAAUCCUUGCUUCCUCUGGACAUCUGGAGCAGGCCCAAUUUGACUGAGAGCCUUCCCCCACUAAGUUACAGAUCCAGCCCCACCAUCACCACCAGAGUUGAGUCCAAAUCCAACACUCUAGGCCGGGUAGUGCUGGGACUUUGCCAGCCUCCUGCUGAGAAGUGAAUUCUCCCCUUGGCAAACUGCAGCCAGCCAGCCUCCUGGGUCGAGAGCCAAGCCAAAAGAUGUCUGAGAGAAGAAACCUGGGGUCCUGCAAAGCCCUCCUCCUCCCCCCCCCCCCCCUUCAGCCAGCACUUAGGCCCUCCCUGAUUUAGCCCGUUACCUUGACAACCACUUGGGCCUGUCUCCCUCAUCACCACUGAAAACCUGAAGGUGGUUUUCCAGCUGCGGUACAUUUGCCCAAGUUGGGCACCCCUCCAGCUUCUAUUGGCUCGCCCUCUAUACAGCUGUACCCAAUAUAACAAACACAACCUUCCUGGCCCCUCAGCUGUAGUCUCGAAAUUGAUCUCACUGGUCCCGGGAACUCCGUCAAUACUGCCUCCUCUAGACUGAGCUCCUCACAGGCAGGAACAUGGUUGUUUCUCAAUAAACAAGUUGCAAAAAAAGGAA
Molecule: long non-coding RNA, 1070 nt
Filed under: Mus musculus (house mouse)
Lineage: Eukaryota; Metazoa; Chordata; Mammalia; Rodentia; Muridae
Description: expressed sequence AI480526
Source: RNAcentral